GAGACUCUGUGCGCGUGCAUAUCAAUAAGCGGAGGAAAAGAAACUAACAAGGAUUCCCUUAGUAACGGCGAGUGAAGCGGGAAGAGCUCAAAUUUGAAAUCCUCAAGGUUCUACCUUGACGAAUUGUAGUUUAUAGAAGUGUUUUCUGUUAGUGGAGUGGCAAAAGUUCUUUGGAAUAGGACAUCAUAGAGGGUGAGAAUCCCGUAUUUGGUCAUUCCUCCUAGCGUUGCGAUACACUUUCAACGAGUCGGAUUGUUUGGGAAUGCAGUCCAAAAUGGGUGGUAAAUUUCAUCUAAAGCUAAAUAUUGGCGAGAGACCGAUAGCGAACAAGUACCGUGAGGGAAAGAUGAAAAGAACUUUGAAAAGAGAGUUAAACAGUACGUGAAAUUGUCAAAAGGGAAGCGUUUGACACCAGUGUUGUUUUUCCGAAAAUCAAUUACGAAUGUUUUAUUUAUGAGGAGUUAUGACUUCAUCGGCUUGCUCCUUUCUUUAUGAAACUUUCUUAAUGCACUUUUCGGUUAACAAGUCAACAUCAAUUUCUUUUGUUGUAAAAGGGUAUGAGGAAGGUGGCUUUCUUUUCGGAGAAAGUGUUUAUAGCCUUGUGCCCUCUGCAAUCGGAGAGAUUGAGGUCUGCAGCGUAGAUCCUUCGGGGUUAGAUACAUUUGUGCUAAGUUAUAGCUUUUCAUAGACAACUUGUUGACUAUGUUUAGUCUUGUAGCUUACUCGCUUAUGCUAUUUUACCUACGCUUAGGAUGUUGACAGCAGUAUAGACUGU
This 775-nucleotide ribosomal RNA is filed under the name uncultured Neocallimastigales. Its description in RNAcentral is "partial large subunit ribosomal RNA". It matches the Rfam family "Eukaryotic large subunit ribosomal RNA", at positions 23 to 635 of the family's 3401-position model. Lineage: Eukaryota; Fungi; Neocallimastigomycota; Neocallimastigomycetes; Neocallimastigales. The record is from RNAcentral.